This is a long non-coding RNA of Nelumbo nucifera (sacred lotus), 989 nucleotides long. RefSeq lists it as uncharacterized. Lineage: Eukaryota; Viridiplantae; Streptophyta; Magnoliopsida; Proteales; Nelumbonaceae. The record is from RefSeq and is a predicted model, not a curated record.
GAGAGUUUUGAUGAGGACAGGGGUCAGGAACAAGAGAAGAGGGGCGAGUGGGAUGAAAUUUGAGAAAGGGCGAGAAUUGAGAGCUUGGAGAGAAAGAAGAGGGAAAGCUGAGUUUCGAGAGGAAAAUAGAGUACUCGUAUGAGAGGGUUUCUAAGGAAGUUUGGCUGAGAGAAAAAAAUGGAGAGAGAUGGGAGAAAGAUCUGAGAGAGGAUAGAGAGAAGAAAACGAACAAGGACUUUGCGAAGAGCGCAAUAGGUAAAGAAGGGUUUGAAUGAGAAGGGAAUACGACUUAAAGGUUCAACACCCACCUCUCCUUCACUUUCUCAUCCAGCAUCAAGAGGGCGUCCUAGUAACAUUUGGCGGCCCAAGAACCCUUGUUCCCUGCUGUCUUCAUCGCAUCUUGCAUCUACAGCUCAGAUGCCACCAUAUUCUGAUUCGAAAUUCAACUGAAGCAUCUACAUCCGAAAGUUGUUUUUAACAAAAAAAAAAAAAAAUAGAGCCUCUAUUGCAGCAUCAUCGAUCCAAUUCACAGACCACAAGAGAUCUUAAAUCAAAGAAGGAGAUUUGGAGUGGUCAUGAGGUGAAUGGAAUAUAUCUUCUUGAUGGGCUUUCCAAUCAUCAGUCAUCAUGUCAGCGAGAACAAUGAAUCAGUGAUUUUUUUCUCUUAAAUAAUGUAUUUUGCAAGAUCUGAAAUCAAAGAAGGAGAUUUGGAGUGGUCGUGAGGUGAAUGGAAUCUAUCUUCUUGAUGGGCUUCCCAAUCAUCAGUCAUCAUGUCAGCGAGAACAAUGAAUCAGAGUUAAUGGGCCAAAUUAUGUUUUGGCAUAAUUAGUUAGGGCAUUUGUCUUUCUUUGCAUUUUUUGUUUCCAAAGUUGUUUAAAUAUGUUAGUUGUCCAACUUAGAGUGUGAGGGUUGUCAAUUUGGAAAACAUUAUAGGCAUUCCUUUAAAAAAAGCAAUAAAAGAUGUUCUUCUAUUUUUUAUAUUGUUCAUA